This 549-nucleotide ribosomal RNA is filed under the name uncultured Glomus. Its description in RNAcentral is "SSU rRNA". It matches the Rfam family "Eukaryotic small subunit ribosomal RNA", at positions 548 to 1098 of the family's 1831-position model. The record is from RNAcentral. Lineage: Eukaryota; Fungi; Glomeromycota; Glomeromycetes; Glomerales; Glomeraceae.
UUGGAGGGCAAGUCUGGUGCCAGCAGCCGCGGUAAUUCCAGCUCCAAUAGCGUAUAUUAAAGUUGUUGCAGUUAAAAAGCUCGUAGUUGAACUUCGGGAUCAAUGGAUUGGUCAUGCCGUUGGUAUGUACUGGUCAUAUUGGUUCUCACCUUCUAAGGAACCAUAAUGUCAUUCAUUUGAUGUUUUGGGGAAUUAGGACUGUUACCUUGAAAAAAUUAGAGUGUUUAAAGCAGGCUAACGCUUGAAUACAUUAGCAUGGAAUAAUGAAAUAGGACAUCGCAUUCUAUUUUGUUGGUUUCUAGGAUCGAUGUAAUGAUUAAUAGGGAUAGUUGGGGGCAUUAGUAUUCAAUUGUCAGAGGUGAAAUUCUUGGAUUUAUUGAAGACUAACUACUGCGAAAGCAUUUGCCAAGGAUGUUUUCAUUAAUCAAGAACGAAAGUUAGGGGAUCGAAGACGAUCAGAUACUGUCGUAGUCUUAACCAUAAACUAUGCCAACUAGGGAUCGGAUGAUGUUAAUUUUUUAAUGACUCAUUCGGCGCCUUACGGGAAAC